Long non-coding RNA from Trichoplusia ni (cabbage looper), 2913 nucleotides. RefSeq lists it as uncharacterized. The transcript has 8 exons. NCBI's taxonomy places the organism in Eukaryota, Metazoa, Arthropoda, Insecta, Lepidoptera, Noctuidae. The record is from RefSeq and is a predicted model, not a curated record.
AAAGAAUUUCACCAGGUUUCAUUUGAAAUAUGUAAAUGCACAACAAUGUUUAUCAAUUAAAUAACUUUUGUCAUUUUAUUCACAUUUAAAAUUCUUAUUAAGUCACAAUUCAUUACGUCAAUUCAUAAGAAAAUAGCAAAUCGUAUCUACUCUCUAAGUUUAUAUGCACGUAAACGGCAGUCUCUACACUUAUUUUAUUUUGUUACAAUGAAAAUCAAUUAAAAAUUACUUAUAUAGGUAGUUAUAUAAAUCGGACAAUACAGCAAUCUAUUUAAACAAACUUGUCAUAUCUCUCGCAAUAACAUAUCGUACAUGUAUAUAAGUAAUCCAUUAUGUUUCAAUUGCAUCGAACUUCAUAUGCCACCUACAUUUCCCAUUAAUAACCAGCAAACAGGUCUUGAUAACCAGCCGCUAUGAAUAUUACGACCGGCUGACUCCCAAUAUCGUAGGUCGACCAGAAGCUAUUACGUAAUUAAGUGCCGAUUGUCCGAUUGAUUGACAGACUACAUCAGACCGAGGGCUUGCAUUUAACAGGAUUACUAAGCCGAGAUCUUGUUACGUCAUGGCAUUCCAGAAGAUCGUGUCAGAAAAUUAAACACUUACACCAAACGUAGGUUUAACAUUUAAUUUAGAGUUUGAAUUAGGUAGGUACAUUUAUUAAAACCAGAACGAGCCCGCCGCAUCAGCUCACGAUUAAGGACUACGGUUGGGUCCGAAACUAGUCGGGCAACCCCGAUAAAUACGCUUGAGCAAACCGUUGCAUCAUUCUCACAAUAGCUACUACCGGAACUUGAAGUACUUUUUUGUAAACAACAGGCAACGUAUAAUAAAGCUGUAAUACAAAAAAGAUUUUUCCCAUUUCGACCAUCGCAACAAAAGUUGAACCAGUUUAAUUUUACCCAAAAUUGUAUUAGUGGGACGGCGAUAUUUUUCCCUCAUUUUGUCAACAAAGUCUAUUUAACCAGAUUGCAAAGUUAACUUGUUCUUUUUGUUUCCGUUCGUCGGUUAUUGUGGAAAACUUGUUUUAUUUGCUGCAGUAAAUUGAUUUUAAAAUGCAAAUGCCUCUCCUAUCUUUUGUCGUCUGGUACGUGAUUGAGCACAUGCGAAAUGAAUAUCGAUAGGCUUCACCGUCUGAUGGUUUUUGAAUGCGAACAGGCUUUUUGUAACUAUUUUUGGGACACAUGAAAUAUGUGUUUUUUGUGUCUGAUAUGCAGAUCAAAAGUGUUUUCUGUAAUGGAAAAAUGCUUUAAGUGUGUUCGGUGAGUUCAGGGAAAAGGGUUAAAAUCCACAAUACCUGAAUCAUUUCAUGACCGGGUAUUCGAUUAAUUCGAUAAAUAUUCGAAUCGAUUUAAAUCAAUUUUAAAAUAGUGCAUUUCUAAUGGACUAGGUAAUGUUCGCGAUUUCAAAAGGAAAGCACAAAUGGAAAUCGCGAGCGCCUGACAAAAUAAUCUUAGCACUACGAGGAAACGCAGGCCACAGAUUGUUGCUAAUCGAUUUAUUUAUUUUUACCAUCUACCUUCAUUUAUUAAAAUAAUUCAUAUAUACGUAGGUGUCAUGUACGACAACAUCAAGCUACGUAGUUUGCUUAAUUAUUCCUUGAAUUAUACCUGACUACUCCCGCACAUGGUCGUUCGAGCCUUGAUUUGGAGAGAUUAGAAGAAUAUUUACUAGAUCAGUAAAUUUAAUGGAAGGAUUGAAGAGAAUUGGCGGAGAUUGAAUAAUGUAGUCGACGCCAGGUGUGGCCGGUCAACUCCGGUGCGUCAUUUAAAGGACUUUUGGUAUAUACGUGGACACAUCAUAGCUGAUAAAAGGUGUAUUUAUUAAAUUUGUUUGCCCAACAAUCUAUAACAGGUAUUGUGGUCAACCGUUUAUAGCAAGAAAAGACGACGGGACUACGGCCUUGAAGAACGUGGAACGGUGUGCAACGUUUUCCUAAGCCAGCAUCGAAAUUAAGAGUCGCGAGGUUUAUCUGGACUGCAACAGCACGUGUGUCAGUUUCAUCCAAUAAAAUGAUUCCAUUCACCCAGUGUCAGCGUCUAUAAGGGCGACGAUUUGGAUGCCGAAAAUAUCGCAAUUUUAACCAAAGCAGUGUGUUUGAGACAAAAUAAUCGACGGGCUUUCGCCCCGCGAAAAUAGCUACGUGUGACGUGUUCAACCGUCUCGGCAAAGCGCAAAGUCAGCGCCAGCGUUGAUAAGACAAACUGGACAUGAAACGUACCCAGCAUCGUACUAAUAACUAGAUCCUUCAGCAGAUCAUAUUUCAGAGAUUCUUGAAUUUGAGGGCCUGCGAAGUGAAAACUGGAGCUACUUUUAAGACGCCGUGAUGGGCGCUUUAAGUCGUGAGCUGAUUAUCAUUCCAGUGAGGCUUCAAGUCUCAUUUGAGGAACCUAAACUGAACCCUGGGCGGCUUUGCGCCUAGCUGCGCACCCCUUCUGCAGGAUAGCGUCCAGCCCAGAGCGGUUUCAAUCAAGCUUAUCUAACAUCUGGAUAAAUAUAGAAAGGUUAAACUUCACCAAAGAAUUCAUCGGGUAUAGAAGAAAUCUUGACGUCUCCUUGGAGUGAGCCGAGCGCAAGCCGGAGUCGGCCGGAGAAGGAGGAGACACCACAACGGUCCCUGUGGGACACAUCCACCAAAAAACGACGUCUAGGCCCAAUCAAUUUCUACUACAUUUUUAUAUGGUCUAGACAUGAAUUGUAUACUUCGAUAUUUGUAGAAACUCUCAAAUCCAGAAAAAGAAGGUCGGAAAGCUGCAAUGAACUAAAACCCCGCUGCUAUUACUAUUCAGAGAAUAUAUUCAUAAAGGGGACAUUCAAAACGCACUGGUGAUUGUAAAAAUCCGGAUUUAAACUAGAACAACCUAUUGCAUGAUUUAAACCUCCUUGUCCAGCGCAUUCUCAGAUCGUACGUUUAUA